Molecule: ribosomal RNA, 482 nt
Filed under: uncultured bacterium
Lineage: Bacteria
Description: partial 16S ribosomal RNA
Rfam family: Bacterial small subunit ribosomal RNA
Source: RNAcentral
AUUGAACGCUGGCGGCAUGCUCUACACAUGCAAGUCGAACGGUAACAGGCCGCAAGGUGCUGACGAGUGGCGAACGGGGGAGUAAUGCAUCGGAACGUGCCCAGUCGUGGGGGAUAACUACUCGAAAGAGUAGCUAAUACCGCAUACGAUCUAUGGAUGAAAGCGGGGGACCGUAAGGCCUCGCGCGAUUGGGGCGGCCGAUGUCAGAUUAGGUAGUUGGUGGGGUAAAGGCUCACCAAGCCAACGAUCUGUAGCUGGUGUGAGAGGACGACCAGCCACACUGGGACUGGAACACGGCCCAGGGUACUACGGGAGGGAGCAGUGGGGAAUUUUGGACAACGGGCGCGAGCCUGGUCCAGCAAUGCCGCGUGCAGGAAGAAGGCCUUCGGGUUGUAAACUGCUUUUGUACGGAACGAAACGGCUCUGGUUAAUACCCGGCGCUAAUGACGGUACCGUAAGAAUAAGCACCGGCUAACUACGUG